CGUGAUUCAAACUUUGAAACUUUUGAAAAACACGCGCACUAUCGCACUAGCUGCAGCGAGCCAAUGAGCGCGGUCCGGUCACUUCACUUGCGUGCUGCUGCUGCGCUGUAGACGUAGAGUUAGUCAUUAUCACUAGUCAGCCGAGCCGACCGGAGCAUGCGGAGACGCCGGCAAACCGCGCGAGUGCUAAAGAAAAGCCGUUGGAUGUCGGCUCGUCAAAUUUUGCCCAUUUUCGGCCGAAUUUUCGCCCUCGAGUCGACCAGCAAGAAGCCAAGGAUGCAGAACAAGCUGUUUUAUCCGCAAAUAACCCCAGACCCGUGCCCGCGGCUUGCGCGACAACAAUGCAACUCGUGUUAUAUGCUGCUUAGCGGAUGAUGCUAACGCCCUGAAUCUUGCGACCCCUGGCCCUGGCAUUGUGAUAAUUAUGUAUUUUCUGGGGUCCGAAGGAGGUGACAUGCAAGGAGUCCAACCCGCCAAACCCUCGCUCCCUAACCUGAGCCACCCCCCGACCCCCGUCAAAGCUGCUUGCCAGGUGGCCGCGCCGCCAGCAGUCUAAGGUCUAAGGUGUUCGCUCCUAUGUAAAAGGUUCUCAAAGAAAAAUUUCCUCCUGUUGUCAAUAUUAUGUGUAAACGUUUUUAUGAAUUAUUAAACUUAGCACC
This is a long non-coding RNA of Cloeon dipterum, 659 nucleotides long. RefSeq lists it as uncharacterized. Lineage: Eukaryota; Metazoa; Arthropoda; Insecta; Ephemeroptera; Baetidae. The transcript is spliced from 3 exons. The record is from RefSeq and is a predicted model, not a curated record.